RNAcentral lists this ribosomal RNA (823 nucleotides) under uncultured bacterium. RNAcentral describes it as "bacterial SSU rRNA". It matches the Rfam family "Bacterial small subunit ribosomal RNA", at positions 57 to 897 of the family's 1533-position model. The record is from RNAcentral.
GCAGUCGACGAUUAAGACUCUCUUCGGAGAGUGUAUAAAGUGGCGCACGGGUGAGUAACACGUAGGUAAUGUACCGUAGGGUGGGGAAUAACUUAGGGAAACUUAAGCUAAUACCGCAUAAUGCAGCGGCUCGACAUCGAGACAGUUGUUAAAGGAGCAAUCCGCCUUAUGAGCAGCCUGCGGCAGAUUAGCUAGUUGGUAAGGUAAUGGCUUACCAAGGCUACGAUCUGUAACCGACCUGAGAGGGUGGUCGGUCACACUGACACUGAAUAACGGGUCAGACUCCUACGGGAGGCAGCAGUCGGGAAUUUUGGGCAAUGGGCGAAAGCCUGACCCAGCAACGCCGCGUGAAGGAUGAAGUAUUUCGGUAUGUAAACUUCGUAAGAAUAGGAAGAAUAGAUGACGGUACUAUUUGUAAGGUCCGGCUAACUACGUGCCAGCAGCCGCGGUAAUACGUAGGGACCAAGCGUUGUUCGGAUUUACUGGGCGUAAAGGGCGCGUAGGCGGCGUGGUAAGUCAGCUGUGAAAUCUCCGAGCUUAACUCGGAACGGUCAGCUGAUACUGCUGUGCUAGAGUACAGAAAGGGCAAUCGGAAUUCUUGGUGUAGCGGUGAAAUGCGUAGAUAUCAAGAGGAACACCUGAGGCGAACGCGGGUUGCUGGGCUAAUACUGACGCUGAGGCGCGAAAGCUAGGGUAGCAAACGGGAUUAGAUACCCCGGUAGUCCUAGCCCUAAACGAUGAUGCUUGUGUCUGGAGUAUUAUUCUCUGGGUGCCGCCGCUAACGCUUUUAGCAUUCCGCCUGGGGAGUACGCACGCAGUGCGA